CCUACGGGAGGCAGCAGUAGGGAAUAUUGCACAAUGGGGGAAACCCUGAUGCAGCGACGCCGCGUGAAGGAAGAAGUAUCUCGGUAUGUAAACUUCUAUCAGCAGGGAAGAUAGUGACGGUACCUGACUAAGAAGCCCCGGCUAACUACGUGCCAGCAGCCGCGGUAAU
RNAcentral lists this ribosomal RNA (169 nucleotides) under uncultured Blautia sp. RNAcentral describes it as "partial 16S ribosomal RNA". It matches the Rfam family "Bacterial small subunit ribosomal RNA", at positions 338 to 524 of the family's 1533-position model. The record is from RNAcentral. Lineage: Bacteria; Bacillati; Bacillota; Clostridia; Lachnospirales; Lachnospiraceae.